AUGCUAUAUGAAACUUCCGAGG
This 22-nucleotide non-coding RNA is filed under the name Arabidopsis thaliana (thale cress). Lineage: Eukaryota; Viridiplantae; Streptophyta; Magnoliopsida; Brassicales; Brassicaceae. The record is from RNAcentral.